This 274-nucleotide ribosomal RNA is filed under the name uncultured bacterium. Its description in RNAcentral is "partial 16S ribosomal RNA". It matches the Rfam family "Bacterial small subunit ribosomal RNA", at positions 523 to 796 of the family's 1533-position model. The record is from RNAcentral.
AUACGGAGGGAGCAAGCGUUAUUCGGAAUCACUGGGCGUAAAGGACGCGUAGGCGGGUUUGUAAGUCAGGUGUGAAAUCCUACAGCUCAACUGUAGAACUGCACUUGAAACUACAGACCUAGAGUAUGAAAGGGGCAGAUGGAAUUAGUGGUGUAGGGGUAAAAUCCGUAGAUAUCACUAGGAAUACCGAAAGCGAAGGCGAUCUGCUGGGACAUUACUGACGCUGAGGCGUGAAAGCGUGGGGAGCAAACAGAAUUAGAUACCCUAGUAGUCC